CUGCACCAGGAGCUCUUGGCCGUCCUUCCUGUUCUCCUCUCCGCAGGUCCAGCACCGCCGCAGCCACUUCCUUCUGUGGAGCAGGUACCCCUGUCCCUGGUCCCUGGGCCCAGAGGGUGCUGGGGCUAAAGUGCCCAGAGGUGUCCCUGGAGGCCCCUGUGAGCCCAGCCAGCGCAGUGCGCACCACCCUCUUAGGCAACAGGAG
This 205-nucleotide long non-coding RNA is filed under the name Homo sapiens (human). RNAcentral's name for it is "HSALNT0263621". Lineage: Eukaryota; Metazoa; Chordata; Mammalia; Primates; Hominidae. The record is from RNAcentral.